UGGGGAAUUUUGGACAAUGGGCGAAAGCCUGAUCCAGCAAUGCCGCGUGUGUGAAGAAGGCCUUCGGGUUGUAAAGCACUUUUGUCCGGAAAGAAAUCCUUGGCUCUAAUACAGUCGGGGGAUGACGGUACCGGAAGAAUAAGCACCGGCUAACUACGUGCCAGCAGCCGCGGUAAUACGUAGGGUGCAAGCGUUAAUCGGAAUUACUGGGCGUAAAGCGUGCGCAGGCGGUUUGCUAAGACCGAUGUGAAAUCCCCGGGCUCAACCUGGGAACUGCAUUGGUGACUGGCAGGCUAGAGUAUGGCAGAGGGGGGUAGAAUUCCACGUGUAGCAGUGAAAUGCGUAGAGAUGUGGAGGAAUACCGAUGGCGAAGGCAGCCCCCUGGGUCAAUACUGACGCUCAUGCACGAAAGCGUGGGGAGCAAACAGGAUUAGAUACCCUGGUAGUCCACGCCCUAAACGAUGUCAACUAGUUGUUGGGGAUUCAUUUCCUUAGUAACGUAGCUAACGCGUGAAGUUGACCGCCUGGGGAGUACGGUCGCAAGAUUAAAACUUAAAUGAAUUGACGGGGUCAUAGCUGUUUCCU
This 585-nucleotide ribosomal RNA is filed under the name uncultured bacterium. RNAcentral describes it as "partial 16S ribosomal RNA". It matches the Rfam family "Bacterial small subunit ribosomal RNA", at positions 355 to 1375 of the family's 1533-position model. The record is from RNAcentral.